GGGGAUGUAGCUCAGCUGGGAGAGCGCCACGUUCGCAACGUGGAGGUCGUGGGUUCGAUCCCCAUCAUCUCCACCA
This 76-nucleotide transfer RNA is filed under the name Pseudomonadota bacterium. Its description in RNAcentral is "tRNA-Ala". It matches the Rfam family "tRNA". Rfam says of the family: Transfer RNA (tRNA) molecules are approximately 80 nucleotides in length. Their secondary structure includes four short double-helical elements and three loops (D, anti-codon, and T loops). Lineage: Bacteria; Pseudomonadati; Pseudomonadota. The record is from RNAcentral. RNAcentral also lists the same sequence under 2 other names.